UACGAAGGACCCAAGCGUUAUCCGGAUUUAUUGGGUUUAAAGGGUGCGUAGGCGGAUUGUUAAGUCAGUGGUGAAAGCUCCGAGCCCAACUCGGAAACUGCCAUUGAUACUGAUGAUCUUGAGUACAUUUGAGGUGGGCGGAAUGUGUCGUGUAGCGGUGAAAUGCUUAGAGAUGACACAGAACACCGAUUGCGAAGGCAGCUCACUAAACUGUAACUGACGCUGAGGCACGAAAGCGUGGGGAGCAAACAGG
Molecule: ribosomal RNA, 253 nt
Filed under: uncultured bacterium
Lineage: Bacteria
Description: partial 16S ribosomal RNA
Rfam family: Bacterial small subunit ribosomal RNA
Source: RNAcentral